Long non-coding RNA from Syngnathoides biaculeatus (alligator pipefish), 552 nucleotides. RefSeq lists it as uncharacterized. Lineage: Eukaryota; Metazoa; Chordata; Actinopteri; Syngnathiformes; Syngnathidae. The record is from RefSeq and is a predicted model, not a curated record. The transcript is spliced from 3 exons.
UGUGCUCAUUUUGUUAGCUGUGUCCACCUGUUUACGUUGACCUUCCUCGUUUGUGUCGACCAAUCGGCUCCCUCUCUCACUCGCGGCUUGUCCAAGUGUUCCUCGUCUCGUCAAGCUCUCUGUACACCAUUUAACGCCCUGUCUUUUGUCGGUUUUCUUUUCAGUCCACUGCGUUGUUGAAGUCGUGUCUGUCGGUACCCGUGCCACAUCUUGUCUAGUUUAGGUUUAUUUGAUAUAUUUGGUGACUUCGUCGCCUUCGCGAGCCCGGACCGUGACAGGUGUCUCUUCCACAAGCCGGGCGGCACAUGUCACGAGGCAGUGGUGAACUGGGCAUCUCGGCUGGCCCGGGCCAACAGCUCGAGUAGCUACCAGCGGUCUGGGACAAUUGCACAAGGAACCGUCCAACAGAGACACCUCAGGGAAAGGAAACACAUACUGCACAUACUUCCUGCCUCUGACCCCACCUUGCCCCCUAGCUAGGAGAGGAGGAUGGAUGCUGCUCAGUGACGUGAAUGGAAAUCCAUGUACUGAACGUUCAGAGUUGAAGCUCAC